UUCCCGUCUGACCUAACCCCCCUUUUUGAUAUUUUUCUUCGAAAGACACGUGUUUUUUAUGACUAUUACCGAUUUCAGAUUUUUUUUAUAUGCACUCCUGAUUUUCAUACAAAUUUUCAAAAACUGGGAAAUUCACCACUUUUUUAAAUAAAAAUCACCAUGCGAAGUAAUUUUUGGCGGGUUUUGGCAACUCUGAAAUGGUGAUCUUUUUUUUUCACCUCGGAAAAUGAGCAACGUCUGGGAGCACUUUUUUUUGUUGACAUUUAUAAAUGUCAAACUGCACGGCUCGAUUUCAUCAGGACCAGAAGCAACAGCAGCGGCGGAUCGAACUGUAUUUGGACCGGAAUUCGUUAGCAUCACGAAAUUUCGAAGUUUAGUGUCCACCGCGGAGUGUUAACAAAAAAUAAAAAAAGGAAACAUUUUCUCCGGUUGUGAAACUACUAAAUUUUACAUCAAAUCGAGCAAGGUAACCGUUGAUGGUUUGCUGGUGUGCAGCUUCCCGGACCCGGAGCAGUAAAGUCUCUCCGAUGCCAUUAACUAGAGCUGCCUCCACUGAUUGAGAAGGAUGCUGAACUUCAUAGUUUUCUGUCAAUCAAACCAUUGCGGUGCUGGGGGAACACGGGAAGAUGCCGUCAAGGAUGCCGUAUGGUCUCGUCGUCGGAACGGUGGGAUAUGUACAAAGAGGAACCGACACUUGGGAGGAACUGCACUUCCAUAAGAUGACCAACAAAAGGAAAAAUUGCGGUAGGGCAUGCAAAAUUACGCGACUUCCGUGUUCAACUAGGAGCAGAUGGCGGAGAAGGAAAAUUCUGCUCAAAUGAAAAAAAAAAACAAGCGGCACACCGGGUUACCUUGGUGCCCUGUAGCAAGGCAGCAUCAGGGAAGGAUUCCAUAACCUGCACAGCAUGUGCGGCAAUCGGCAGCGAUCCAAUUGCAAGUGCAAGUUUAACUCAGGAAACAACUGGCCCAUCAACUAUACUGGUAUGCUUAAGUUUGCUUCUUUUUGACGUUACUUGCAAACGGGCACAGACUAUUUCUUAACUUGCAGAGUGAAUAAUACCUUCAACAUACUUGAACAUUUGGCCAGAAAAGCCAACUGAUUCCUCCUGCAAUUCUUAACAGAAAUUUCAGCAGUUAUUCCUACCGGGGAUCCCACCAGGCACCCUCACCAGGGUUUCUUUCUGACAUUCCCAUCAGGGAUUCUUCCUGCUAUUUCCAGCGUGGAUUCCUCCAGCAAUUUUUAGCGGGUACUAAUUCCUCCUGGUAUUUCCACCAGGCGUUUCUCCAGCCUUUCUUAGCGGGGAUUUUUCCUAGCUUUUCCACCAGAGAUGCCUCCAGCCAUUCCCAUCUGGGAUUCCUUCUGGCAUUCCUACUAAAGGUUUCUCCAGCGGCUGGAGUCCAGAGAUUCCUCCUGCCAUUCCCAACAGAAAUUUCUGCAGUAGUUCCCACCGGGGGGUAUCCCACCAGACAAUCUGGGGAUAUCCCACCAGGGAUUCUUUCUGCUAUUUACAACGGGGAUUGGUUCUAGCAUUCUUAACAGGGAUUCCUCUACGCAUCCCAUCCAGGGGUUCCUUCGGUCAUAGGAGACUCCUGCAAGAAUUCUCAGCGGGGAUUUCUCCUGGCAUUCUUAGCGAGGAUUCCUCAAGCCUUUCCAGCAAGGACUACCCAGACAUUCCAUGCGGGUAUUCAUUCUGGCAUUCCCACUAGGGAUUCCUCCAGCCAUUCUCAACGAGGAUUCCUCGUGCCAUUUUCAGCGGUGAUUCUUCUGGCAUCCCCAGUAGGGAUUCCUUUGGUAUUUUCACCAGGGUUUCCUCCAAGCAUUCCUACCAGGGAUUCCUUCAGUCAUUCUUAGCGGUGGUUCCUCCAGCCAUUCCCAACGGAAAUUCCUCCAGCCAUUCCCACCAGAGAUUCCUCAAGCCGUUCCCAACAGAGAUUUUCCAAGUCAUUCCCACCGGAGAUCCAACCAGGCAUUCCCACCAGGGAUUCCUUUUGCCAUUUCCAGAGGGGAUUUGUUCGGACAUUCCCAAGAGGGAUUUUUCCAGGCAUACUCACUAUAGACACUAUAGAUUCCAUAGACUCGCGAAGGCGAAGACAACUGUAGCCAAACGAACUGUCAGUUCGUGUAGCCAAACGAGCAUGACGUCACGAUUUCAAUAGCGACAAUGGAUUGCGUGACGUCAUAUUCGCUUGGUACACUCUAAAUUCACGGUAAAACACACUAAAAUCGUAUUGCUCAACCAUGUCUCCGCGAGUCUAUGGAAUCUAUAGUGUCUAUAAUACCCACCAGGGGUAUCUUCGACCAUUGGAGAUUCCUUCAAGAAUCCCCACCAGGUUUCCUCCUGCCUUUACCAGCGGGGAUACCUUCAGUUAUUCCUACAGGCGAUUCCUCUAGCCAUUUCCAGCAGGCAUCCCCAGCAAGGAUUUCCUCUGGCAUUCCUAGUAGGGAUUCCUCCAGGCAUUCUCACCAGGGAUUCCUUCUGGUACCUGUUCUGGCAUUCCCAACAGGGAUUUCUUCUGGCAUUGCCAAAGAAAAUUUCUCCUGCCAUUCCUACCAGGAAUUCUUCCUGUUAUUUACAGCGGGGAUCCACUCUUGCAUUUCCAACAGGGAUUCCUCCAGGCAUUCCAGCCAGGGGUUCCUUCGGUUAUUGGAGUUUCCUGCAAGAAUUCUCACUGGGGAUUCCUCCUAGUAUUCUUAGCGAGGAUUCCUCCAGCCAUUCCAGCAAGGACUACCCCAGAUAUUGCAUGCGGGUAUUCCUUCCUCCCAUUCUCAACGGAGAUUCCUCCAGCCAUUCCCAAUCAUGAUUUCUCUAAUCAUUCUCAGCAAGGAUUACUCCAGGCAUUCCCACUAGGGAUUCCUCCAAUCCUUCCCACCUAAGAUUCCUCCAGUCAUUCCUAUCGGGGAUCCCUCCAAUCAUGCCCGGCGUGGAGUCCUUCUGGAAUUUCCACUAGGGGUGCUUUCUCUAGUCAUUCCCACCCGUGAUCUCACCAGGCACUCCCACCAGGGAUUCUGGCAUUCUCAUAAGAGAUUCCUCCAGGCAUUCCCACCAGGAAUUCCAUCAGCCAUUCCUACCGGGGAUUCCUCCCACCCUUCAAAAUACUUGAAUAAUUGCUCUUCGAUCAUAUGUCCACUAUAGUUGGAUUGUUGGAAAAUCGUAUAUGUAUAAACAUUGACCUGUUUUUAUUAUUAUUGUUUUACAGUUGCUGCUGUAUAUACUUUCAUCAUGGACUUCUCCAUUUGGUCACCUGGAUGGUCUCAAACGGGUUUUGAUGU
Aedes albopictus (Asian tiger mosquito) is the source of this 3271-nucleotide long non-coding RNA. RefSeq lists it as uncharacterized. The record is from RefSeq and is a predicted model, not a curated record. The transcript has 3 exons. Lineage: Eukaryota; Metazoa; Arthropoda; Insecta; Diptera; Culicidae.